This 301-nucleotide ribosomal RNA is filed under the name uncultured bacterium. RNAcentral describes it as "partial 16S ribosomal RNA". It matches the Rfam family "Bacterial small subunit ribosomal RNA", at positions 509 to 807 of the family's 1533-position model. The record is from RNAcentral.
CAGCAGCCGCGGGAAUACGAAGGGGGCUAGCGUUGUUCGGAUUUACUGGGCGUAAAGCGCACGUAGGCGGACUUUUAAGUCAGGGGUGAAAUCCCGGGGCUCAACCCCGGAACUGCCUUUGAUACUGGAAGUCUUGAGUAUGGUAGAGGUGAGUGGAAUUCCGAGUGUAGAGGUGAAAUUCGUAGAUAUUCGGAGGAACACCAGUGGCGAAGGCGGCUCACUGGACCAUUACUGACGCUGAGGUGCGAAAGCGUGGGGAGCAAACAGGAUUAGAUACCCGGGUAGUCCCUGUCUCUUAUAC